This is a non-coding RNA of Xyrichtys novacula (pearly razorfish), 246 nucleotides long. NCBI's taxonomy places the organism in Eukaryota, Metazoa, Chordata, Actinopteri, Labriformes, Labridae. The record is from the annotation of a GenBank genome assembly.
GAAAACAAGGAGGAGGAGGAGGAGGAGGAGGAGGAGGAGGAGAGUUUUUAUCUCCUGGUAAAGAAAACCGUCUCCAAACUUUAGACUCGAACCCUUAAAAAUGUUUGAGGACCAGGAGACCGAUCAGCAGAGAGGUCCAGGUGGAGUCAGAGGAAGUCUGAAGGUUCUUAGAAGUUCAGAGCAGGAACCCUCACAGUCAGGUCCUCCUCCUCCUCCUCCUCCUCCUCCUCCUCCUCACUUUAGUAU